This 2977-nucleotide long non-coding RNA is filed under the name Panax ginseng (ginseng). RNAcentral's name for it is "long non-coding RNA (PGIN_LNC007111)". Lineage: Eukaryota; Viridiplantae; Streptophyta; Magnoliopsida; Apiales; Araliaceae. The record is from RNAcentral.
AGGGGUAGUACUUGACUACAUAGAUUCCGAGUUCUAUACUCCAAAACGACAAUGACCUUCUUAAGAAACUGUGCGUAGUUAGUGGGAUAUUACGUGCAUCCAGUGGUUAUAUCCCGUGUUAGAGGCUGUAUUUGACUAAUUUCCCUUGUUUAUUUGUUGUCCAAAAUUAUUUGACUUGUGUUAUCAUUUUUAUAUUAAUAUAAAGUCGUGGGAAAAAACUCAAUAAACACCCAUCUAAGCAAAAGGGGGUUGUUGAAGCCUUGAAAUAAGUAACAUUAUUAUUUCCUUCACUCAAAUGCAAGAUUAAAGAAGAAAAAGCUGAGAGAAUGGAAGGCUUGGUCCCAAUGGUGUUGAAGAUGUUCAAGAAGAGGAGCGAGACUCGCCGGGAAUGCAAUUCUCUCUCGGCUCCUGCAACUCAUAGUUACAAUAUAGUGGACUUCUAUCCUAAUGGUUACAACUUCCAGUAUGGGAGAGUACCGAGGCAACAACAGGAUCAAAGGAUUGAUGAUGGUUUUCGUGCUGAAACUAAGUUUAGCCAACGACGAAACAAGUCUUUUAAUCAUGUUGGUUAUGCUGCUGGUGGCCGAUAUUCCCCUCUGGAUUCUGUCAAGUCCUGUAAACAACUUGUGAGUCAGCGAAGAAUGUUCUCAUGUAUCACUGGUGCCUAAAACUUUGUCCCUCCCUCCCCCACCCCCCGGCCUUCAUGUCAUGUCUCCCGGCCUUCAUGUUCUCAUGAAAUCUGAUACUCGUUCAUUGCCAAUGAAGUUUCCCUGGGAAGAAUAAGGACCUGAACUUGUAAUCUUCAUGCUUAGUCUCAAUACCAAAGAUGAAGCAGAUUCCAUGGCAUUUGUUCCAUCAUCAUCAGCUGAACUCAUAGGGGAAGACUGUUCUUAUUCUUCCUGAUUCACACAACUUUUAGCUUCCUGUAAGCAGAUAGUUCCUUCAUAUAUCUACAGCUUGCAAAUAAUUGGAAAGGGUAAUAAUAUAUCUAAGAAGUGACUCCCAAUCUACUCUCAUUUUCCAUCAUGUUUUCCUUAUGUAAAAAACUGAUAAAAUUAAGUAGUAUUCGUAUCAGAUGUGCUUGACUAGACACUGUCCGAAUCCAUCUAUCUUACCGAUUAUUGGAUCUUCACAUACAGCAUAAUGCAAAUUCAAAUUUUUUGUUAUUCUUUUUAGCAGAAAUAGAAAAGCAUUCAUUAUAAUCCAAAAUUCAUACUUGAACUACAUGUGGAUGGGAGAUUAAGUUCAAAUCAUUCAAGAAUGCAGCAACUUCUACUGUACAAAUAUCGGUUGCUUAUUUUGUAACCAAACUUCAAUUUAUAAAAAUUCUUUGGACAAAUAUAUGCAGCAUUUGCUACAUUUUCUUUCACAUGUUAUAUAGAUCCUACAUGCUAUCAGAUAGAAGGAGUCUACACAAAAAUCAUAAACCCUUUUCUUCCAGGCUGAGGAAAGCAGAAGAUUUUAAAAACAAGAAAUAAAAAAAUUACAAAAACUACUUGCACAACACCUAGAAUCAAGAUUGAAAGAUUGCACUAGAAGUAGUACUUAUCAAAAAAAAAAAAACUGCACUUGCAACAAUAAUUAAGAAUCACUACCGGCAGAAGAAGAAAAUCUCAUACGCUGGUCCGAUCUAAAUAAUAAAAUGCAGGGUCAAUAGACAAAGUUCGGAAUCUAGUUGCUGUUAAAAUAUAUCGAUGGUUCAAUGUGGAGUGAUGAAUGUGUUUGCUGAUGAUCAUCUAACCAUAAUAAUUCUGCAGAAAGUGAGGAAAAUGAAGAAAAAGAUGAUUAGAUGACCAUCAACAAAACAUAUUCAUCAUCAUAUCUGCAUAAAACACACACAAAAGGUCUUAAACUCCAGCAAAGUCAUACUACUAAAGGACAAACACCCAUAAUAGGACGGUUUGUAUUAUAAGUCUUGCAAGUAUAUACUCUGGAAUAUUUCUCCAAGAUAAGCAUAUUCUUUGGGAAUAAACCUCCAGUUGGACUCCUUAUAAUGGUUGGUGAGAAAUGAAUGAGUGUUCAUUUUGAAUUUGAAGAGUGAAAAACUUACCAACACAUAAAUGGUGAAUACUGUGAGAGAUGGUGAUAAAGAGACUGGGUAAGAGAGAUAGAGACUGUAAUGGACUAUAAUAAUGAAUGAUAGAAGUUAAAAUAACCUCCUUUAGAUCAGGUUGGAUUGAAAUGGACCAAUUGGACAGUAGGUGAAGCAGUUAGGCCUACCAAAAACACCUAACUCAACUAAUACCUUGUUUUUCUCAUGUCCAAAAAAAAACACUAAAGUUUUGUUCUAACUUUUUUUAUUUUUAAAUCAUGGGUAUUCAACCCUAUUAGAGAAUCCCACGUGCAAGUAUCACUUGGAGUUUGCAAGGUUUGAUCAUGGUGGAACACAUGCCACUGAGUACAAGGAUCAUGUGUGUUCCAAUUUCUUAGACCACUCCACUAAUCCCACGAGUACACGUCCCCUUAAAAGAUUUGUGCACCGGGUAAAUUCAAGUAUAAACUCCUAUGGGUACUCGUCGGAGUUGGCGAGAUAAAGUCCUAUGGGUACUCGUCAGAGUUGGCGAGAUUUGAUCAUGGUCGAUCACAUGCAGUACAAGGAUCCUGUUUUCCCUUCUAUACUGUUUAGGCCUAUGUUAAUAUCGAAUAUGCAAUAGGCAAUCAACACCAAUCCUGCUAAAAGAAGCCACUAAUAAGUAUCAAAUUAUUAAUACUUGUCCAGAAAACAAAAGAGUUUGCAUAGACAAAACAAAUUACUAAAAUAAAAUAAAGAAUUGAGCUAAUUAAGCUACUAUAAAUUAAAGAAUUAAGUUAAUUAAUCAUGUUUAAAAAACGUAGGGAAUCUGAAAGUCCAGCUUUUGUUAAUGACUUUAAAGAAGACAAACUGAAAUAACAGCAACCAGGUUACUAUUGUCCAUCUUACCUUGUUAACUCGUGACCUCGGUUCAGUCACUCUCCUGGUUAAAUUAGCCAGAUUCAC